Molecule: ribosomal RNA, 1914 nt
Filed under: Agarivorans sp. 3_MG-2023
Lineage: Bacteria; Pseudomonadati; Pseudomonadota; Gammaproteobacteria; Alteromonadales; Alteromonadaceae
Description: partial 23S ribosomal RNA
Rfam family: Bacterial large subunit ribosomal RNA
Source: RNAcentral
GGUUAAGUGACUAAGCGUAUACGGUGGAUGCCUUGGCAGUCAGAGGCGAUGAAGGACGUGUUAAUCUGCGAUAAGCCAUGUUAAGUCGAUAAAAGACGUUAUAGACAUGGAUUUCCGAAUGGGGAAACCCACUGCAUUUUAUGCAGUAUCGCAACGUGAAUACAUAGCGUUGCGAGGCGAACCCGGGGAACUGAAACAUCUAAGUACCCGGAGGAAAAGAAAUCAACCGAGAUUCUGGUAGUAGCGGCGAGCGAACCCGGAUUAGCCCUUAAGCUUUUAUGUGAUUAGUGGAAUGUUCUGGAAAGGACAGCGAUACAGGGUGAUAGCCCCGUACAUGAAAAUCUACUUUAAGUGAAAUCGAGUAGGACGGCACACGUGAUAUGUUGUCUGAAUAUGGGGGGACCAUCCUCCAAGGCUAAAUACUCCUGACUGACCGAUAGUGAACCAGUACCGUGAGGGAAAGGCGAAAAGAACCCCUGUGAGGGGAGUGAAAUAGAACCUGAAACCGUAUACGUACAAGCAGUGGGAGCCCCCUUGUGGGGUGACUGCGUACCUUUUGUAUAAUGGGUCAACGACUUAAUUUCAGUAGCAAGGUUAAGCGAAUAGCGGAGCCGUAGGGAAACCGAGUGUUAACUGCGCGCAUAGUUGCUGGGAUUAGACCCGAAACCCGGUGAUCUAGCCAUGGGCAGGUUGAAGAUUGGGUAACACCAAUUGGAGGACCGAACCGACUAAUGUUGAAAAAUUAGCGGAUGACUUGUGGCUGGGGGUGAAAGGCCAAUCAAACCGGGAGAUAGCUGGUUCUCCUCGAAAGCUAUUUAGGUAGCGCCUCGGACGAAUACUAGUGGGGGUAGAGCACUGUUAAGGCUAGGGGGUCAUCCCGACUUACCAACCCUUUGCAAACUCCGAAUACCACUAAGUAAUAUCCGGGAGACACACGGCGGGUGCUAACGUCCGUCGUGGAAAGGGAAACAACCCAGACCGUCAGCUAAGGUCCCAAAGUCAUAGCUAAGUGGGAAACGAUGUGGGAAGGCUUAGACAGCCAGGAUGUUGGCUUAGAAGCAGCCAUCAUUUAAAGAAAGCGUAAUAGCUCACUGGUCGAGUCGGCCUGCGCGGAAGAUGUAACGGGGCUAAGCUAUGCACCGAAGCUACGGAUGCUAAUUUAUUAGCAUGGUAGAGGAGCGUUCUGUAAGCCGUUGAAGGUGAGUCGUAAGGCUCGCUGGAGGUAUCAGAAGUGCGAAUGUUGACAUGAGUAACGAUAAAGGGGGUGAAAAGCCCCCUCGCCGAAAGACCAAGGUUUCCUGUUCAAUGUUAAUCAGAGCAGGGUGAGUCGGCCCCUAAGGCGAGACUGAAAAGUGUAGUCGAUGGGAAACAGGUUAAUAUUCCUGUACUUCGUAUAAUUGCGAUGGGAGGACGGAGAAGGCUAGGCCAGCAUGGUGAUGGUUAUCCAUGUUUAAGGUUGUAGGCUGGACACUUAGGAAAAUCCGGGUGUCUAAGGCUGAGAAUUGAUGACGAGUGUCUACGGACAUGAAGUGGUUGAUGCCCUGCUUCCAGGAAAAGUCUCUAAGCUUCAGAUUAUACGAAACCGUACCCCAAACCGACACAGGUGGUUGGGUAGAGAAUACCAAGGCGCUUGAGAGAACUCGGGUGAAGGAACUAGGCAAAAUGGUACCGUAACUUCGGGAGAAGGUACGCUCUUGAUGGUGAUGGGAUUUACUCCCUAAGCUGCUGAGAGUCGCAGAUACCAGUUGGCUGCAACUGUUUAUUAAAAACACAGCACUGUGCUAAAUCGAAAGAUGACGUAUACGGUGUGACGCCUGCCCGGUGCCGGAAGGUUAAUUGAUGUGGUUAGUCCUCGGACGAAGCUAUUGAUCGAAGCCCCGGUAAACGGCGGCCGUAACUAUAACGGUCCUAAGG